AUGGAUAUACACCCGCAGGUAUUGUGCUGGAAUGUGAGGGGACUCAACAAUCCAGCCAAAAGGAAGGCCAUUAUGGAGUUUGUGGAAACGAUGAAAGUGAACUUGGUUUGCUUCCAAGAAAUCAAAAUGGUUGUAAUGGAUAAAUAUGUGGUAAUGCAAUGUUUAGGGCCAUAUUUUGAUGGCUUUGCGUAUGUGCUGGCGGUGGACACAUGUGGUGGAAUUUUAUUAGCUUGGGAUGGCUUGGUGCUAAAGGUGGAUAACAUCAUGCUUAACACUAACUUCCUCGUGGACUAG
RNAcentral lists this ribosomal RNA (294 nucleotides) under Triticum aestivum (bread wheat). RNAcentral's name for it is "partial small subunit ribosomal RNA". The record is from RNAcentral. Lineage: Eukaryota; Viridiplantae; Streptophyta; Magnoliopsida; Poales; Poaceae.